GAGUGGCGAACGGGUGAGUAAUACAUCGGAACGUGUCCGCUCGUGGGGGACAACCAGCCGAAAGGUUGGCUAAUACCGCAUGAGUUCUACGGAAGAAAGAGGGGGACCCGCAAGGGCCUCUCGCGAGCGGAGCGGCCGAUGACUGAUUAGCCGGUUGGUGAGGUAACGGCUCACCAAAGCAACGAUCAGUAGCUGGUCUGAGAGGACGACCAGCCACACUGGGACUGAGACACGGCCCAGACUCCUACGGGAGGCAGCAGUGGGGAAUUUUGGACAAUGGGCGCAAGCCUGAUCCAGCUAUUCCGCGUGUGGGAUGAAGGCCCUCGGGUUGUAAACCACUUUUGUAGAGAACGAAAAGACACCUUCGAAUAAAGGGUGUUGCUGACGGUACUCUAAGAAUAAGCACCGGCUAACUACGUGCCAGCAGCCGCGGUAAUACGUAGGGUGCGAGCGUUAAUCGGAAUUACUGGGCGUAAAGGGUGCGCAGGCGGUUGAGUAAGACAGAUGUGAAAUCCCCGAGCUUAACUCGGGAAUGGCAUAUGUGACUGCUCGGCUAGAGUGUGUCAGAGGGAGGUGGAAUUCCACGUGUAGCAGUGAAAUGCGUAGAUAUGUGGAAGAACACCGAUGGCGAAGGCAGCCUCCUGGGACAUAACUGACGCUCAGGCACGAAAGCGUGGGGAGCAAACAGGAUUAGAUACCCCGGUAGUCCACGCCCUAAACGAUGUUAACUAGUUGUUGGGAAGUAAUAUUCUCAGU
RNAcentral lists this ribosomal RNA (756 nucleotides) under uncultured bacterium. RNAcentral's name for it is "bacterial SSU rRNA". It matches the Rfam family "Bacterial small subunit ribosomal RNA", at positions 93 to 844 of the family's 1533-position model. The record is from RNAcentral.